Long non-coding RNA from Poecile atricapillus (Black-capped chickadee), 1896 nucleotides. RefSeq lists it as uncharacterized. Lineage: Eukaryota; Metazoa; Chordata; Aves; Passeriformes; Paridae. The transcript is spliced from 3 exons. The record is from RefSeq and is a predicted model, not a curated record.
CCCAACACUACCUCAUCAACCAGACCACGGCACUGAGUGCCACAUCCAGUCUUCCCUUAAACACCUCCAGGGACGGCUCCACUCCUUGUUCAGUCCUGAUGGAAUGAUUGCUGCUGAUUUGUUGACAUCCACUGGUUCAACAUACCCAAGUGUGCGAAACAAUAAAGGUGCCAGACCUAAGUGGGUUCCAGCAAAGAACGUUAAACCAUAUUGCACACGAGAACAUGCUGAUGAGUCCAAGAGCAGAGAGACAAGCACAGAGGUGUGAGCCAAACAGAGCCCACGAGUCCUGCCUGACAAAUCUUGUUCACCUGUGGAACCUGCAAACCCUGCUUUUUGCAUCAUUGUGAAAAAUGUGUAAAUUGUUGAUUUCAUGGACUCCUUCGGCAAAAACAUGGUAUUUUUGUGCUAUAGAGAGUAUAUCCUAUCGAAUUUGCAAAGAUGAAAUUACCCCUUCUAUUUUUUGUUAUAGGUAGCUAGUCCCCAAGCAAAUUUGAGAAAGUACAAGAGUAGAAUUUGGGAAAUAAGAUAUAUGAAAAGGUCUUUUGCUAAAAAAUAGCUCACGAAAACUAUGGAGCUGAAUGAAGUAUUAUGCUGGUACUUGCUGGUCUUGCUUGUUCUGUGCAGAGCAGAUUUGCCUGUAGAACAACCAAAAACAAAUGUCUGCCUUAGCCAAGGCUGCAAGCUCAGACACCAUAUGCCUGUCCGAUUCAAAUCCAGAAAAGCCCUUUUCAACCUGUCUAGUUGGUGUGCCAAUAAAAGAUUGGCCAAUACCCAUAUAUUAUGAUCCUUUGACCAAAAAAACAACUUAAUAGCAAGCGUGGUGAGGUUGCUAACGGGACCAAUCUUGUGACUGAUUGGAACAUCUGGACCAAAGGAUUUCCAAAAGCAGAAUCUGAACCCCAAGAAUUGGAAAUUCUUGGUUCUUUGACCAUGGAUUUUUGCCUCACAUUUUCAUCUAGCAAUUCAUGAGAGAAUGAUUCUCCGAAGUGCAAUGUCACUCCCAAUUACCCUGCUUAUAGGAACUCCAGUUUUUGGUGGAAUUACUCAGACAGUUGGGGUAAAUUUUCCAGGGCUGACCAAUAUCCAUGAAAAUUACCAAAAGGAUAUUGGUUCAUUUGUGGAGAUAGGGCUUGGCAAGAUAUUCCAUCACACCUUGAAGGUGGUCCAUGCAGCAUUGGACAACUCACUAUGCUACCACCUAAAACAGUCAUUCAGAAAAAACAUACAGGAAAAAGAUUUUUCCACCAGUAUGAUGAAAAUUGUCAGAAUGAUUUUAGACCCUGAAAGGCUGCAGACAGAGCUUCAGCAGGUUUGCUACUACCCCAGCUUGCCUCAGCAGUGGCAUUGAAACAAUUAGAUCGGGUAAGAUGUUGGCUGAGUAAACAGACCAAUGCCACAUGCAUUGCAAUCAGUGAUAUGCUGACUGGUGUCAGCGGUGUUAGACAUGCUACCCUUCAAAAGGUAGAGCAGCAAUUGAUUUUCUCUUACUGGCACAUGGACAUAGUUGUGAGGAGUUUGAAGGAUUAUAUUGUAUGAACUUGUCUGACCACUCUGAGUCCAUCCACAAAAGCAUACGAAAGCUGGAGGAUUUAACAUCUCAAAUUAAAAGAGACAAUGAAUUAUGGUUAGACAAUUUGUUCGAAGGAUAGAACUUCGCAACUUGGUUAAAGCAGCUUUGCGAAAUAGGCUUGUAUGUUUUAAUGGUUGUUGUGCUGAUAUUAGCAGUAAUGCCUUGUAUGCUUCAGUGUGUUUGAUGAGUGAUGAACAAAGCUGUCAAAGUUUUUAUUGUACAAGGAACCACAAUAAAUUCUCAAAAUCUUACAAAGGUAGUAGAUGCAAGUAUAGAUAUAGAUGAAGGCUUUGAAUUAAGACCCUCUAAUGGACAGGACUUAU